Molecule: unclassified non-coding RNA, 265 nt
Filed under: Hevea brasiliensis (rubber tree)
Lineage: Eukaryota; Viridiplantae; Streptophyta; Magnoliopsida; Malpighiales; Euphorbiaceae
Source: RNAcentral
UCCUCCUUUUAUGUAACCUCUCAACAACCAUGUUAAUGUUUUUUUCUUCUGGAGAGAGGUUGUAACCUCUAUUCUAGUAAGUAAUCUUGCUAUUGCACUGACCUCCUUUUGAGAGGCACAGAUGGCUAAAACAAUAUCAUAAAGGUCUCUAUCAGCCUCCUUACCGACAAGUUUCAUUUCCCACAACUGUCUUUCAGCAUCUAGUCCGCAACCAGCACAAAUAUACAUAGCAAGAAGCCGCUCAUGAACUACACCAUAAAGGGAA